Molecule: transfer RNA, 73 nt
Filed under: Canis lupus familiaris (dog)
Lineage: Eukaryota; Metazoa; Chordata; Mammalia; Carnivora; Canidae
Also listed under: 1 other name
Rfam family: tRNA
About the family: Transfer RNA (tRNA) molecules are approximately 80 nucleotides in length. Their secondary structure includes four short double-helical elements and three loops (D, anti-codon, and T loops).
Source: Rfam by way of RNAcentral
ACCUGGCUGGCUUAGUUGGAAGAGUAUGUGACUCCUGAUCUCAGGGUUGGGGGUUUGAACCCUGUGUUGGGUG